This 1435-nucleotide ribosomal RNA is filed under the name uncultured organism. RNAcentral describes it as "16S ribosomal RNA". It matches the Rfam family "Bacterial small subunit ribosomal RNA". The record is from RNAcentral.
GCUUAACACAUGCAAGUCGAGGGGCAGCAUUUCAGUUUGCUUGCAAACUGGAGAUGGCGACCGGCGCACGGGUGAGUAACACGUAUCCAACCUGCCGAUAACUCGGGGAUAGCCUUUCGAAAGAAAGAUUAAUACCCGAUGGUAUAAUCAGACCGCAUGGUCUUGUUAUUAAAGAAUUUCGGUUAUCGAUGGGGAUGCGUUCCAUUAGGCAGUUGGUGAGGUAACGGCUCACCAAACCUUCGAUGGAUAGGGGUUCUGAGAGGAAGGUCCCCCACAUUGGAACUGAGACACGGUCCAAACUCCUACGGGAGGCAGCAGUGAGGAAUAUUGGUCAAUGGGCGCAGGCCUGAACCAGCCAAGUAGCGUGAAGGAUGACUGCCCUAUGGGUUGUAAACUUCUUUUAUAUGGGAAUAAAGUUUUCCACGUGUGGAAUUUUGUAUGUACCAUAUGAAUAAGGAUCGGCUAACUCCGUGCCAGCAGCCGCGGUAAUACGGAGGAUCCGAGCGUUAUCCGGAUUUAUUGGGUUUAAAGGGAGCGUAGGUGGACAGUUAAGUCAGUUGUGAAAGUUUGCGGCUCAACCGUAAAAUUGCAGUUGAUACUGGCUGUCUUGAGUACAGUAGAGGUGGGCGGAAUUCGUGGUGUAGCGGUGAAAUGCUUAGAUAUCACGAAGAACUCCGAUUGCGAAGGCAGCUCACUGGACUGCAACUGACACUGAUGCUCGAAAGUGUGGGUAUCAAACAGGAUUAGAUACCCUGGUAGUCCACACAGUAAACGAUGAAUACUCGCUGUUUGCGAUAUACAGUAAGCGGCCAAGCGAAAGCAUUAAGUAUUCCACCUGGGGAGUACGCCGGCAACGGUGAAACUCAAAGGAAUUGACGGGGGCCCGCACAAGCGGAGGAACAUGUGGUUUAAUUCGAUGAUACGCGAGGAACCUUACCCGGGCUUAAAUUGCAUUUGAAUAUAUUGGAAACAGUAUAGCCGUAAGGCAAAUGUGAAGGUGCUGCAUGGUUGUCGUCAGCUCGUGCCGUGAGGUGUCGGCUUAAGUGCCAUAACGAGCGCAACCCUUAUCUUUAGUUACUAACAGGUCAUGCUGAGGACUCUAGAGAGACUGCCGUCGUAAGAUGUGAGGAAGGUGGGGAUGACGUCAAAUCAGCACGGCCCUUACGUCCGGGGCUACACACGUGUUACAAUGGGGGGUACAGAAGGCAGCUACCUGGUGACAGGAUGCUAAUCCCAAAAGCCUCUCUCAGUUCGGAUCGAAGUCUGCAACCCGACUUCGUGAAGCUGGAUUCGCUAGUAAUCGCGCAUCAGCCAUGGCGCGGUGAAUACGUUCCCGGGCCUUGUACACACCGCCCGUCAAGCCAUGAAAGCCGGGGGUACCUGAAGUACGUAACCGCAAGGAGCGUCCUAGGGUAAAACUGGUAAUUGGGGCUAA